Molecule: ribosomal RNA, 494 nt
Filed under: uncultured bacterium
Lineage: Bacteria
Description: partial 16S ribosomal RNA
Rfam family: Bacterial small subunit ribosomal RNA
Source: RNAcentral
GACGAACGCUGGCGGCGUGCUUAACACAUGCAAGUCGAACGGUGAAGCGCCUUCCUUUUUGGUGGGUGUGGAUGAGUGGCGAACGGGUGAGUAACACGUGAGUAACCUGCCCCCUUCUUCUGGAUAACCGCAUGAAAGUGUGGCUAAUACGGGAUAUUCUGGGUCUGUCGCAUGAUGGGUCUGGGAAAGAUAUUGUUUCGGUGGGGGAUGGGCUCGCGGCCUAUCAGCUUGUUGGUGGGGUGAUGGCCUACCAAGGCGGUGACGGGUAGCCGGCCUGAGAGGGUGGACGGUCACACUGGGACUGAGACACGGCCCAGACUCCUACGGGAGGCAGCAGUGGGGAAUAUCGCACAAUGGGCGCAAGCCUGAUGCAGCGACGCCGCGUGAGGGAUGGAGGCCUUCGGGUUGUGAACCUCUUUCGCCAGUGAAGCAGGCCUGCCUCGUUUGUGGGUGGGUUGACGGUAGCUGGAGAAGAAGCGCCGGCUAACUACGUG